CUCCAAUUACAUGUCCAAUUCACUUGCAUUUGAUCUCAGCAUGCAUUUCCAUUCACUUUUGGGCCUCACAUGCGCCUGUACAGGCCCAUGCAUGGAGGAUCCAAAAUUCAUGCACACGAGCAAAACACCUCCUUGCAUCAAGUUUAGCUAUAAAUAGAAGUGCUUGCUCAUUCAAAAUUCAACCACAAGGAGAUCUGAAACGCUGCUGAAGUAAAAACCCAACCCUCACACAAAGGAAUUUCAUUUUUCAUUUUCAAUUUCAAGCUUGAAUUUC
This 274-nucleotide long non-coding RNA is filed under the name Lathyrus oleraceus (garden pea). Its description in RNAcentral is "Pisum sativum (pea) long non-coding RNA (PSAT_LNC015183)". Lineage: Eukaryota; Viridiplantae; Streptophyta; Magnoliopsida; Fabales; Fabaceae. The record is from RNAcentral.